GGUAAAGGCUUACCAAGGCGACGAUCUGUAGCGGGUCUGAGAGGAUGAUCCGCCACACUGGAACUGAGACACGGUCCAGACUCCUACGGGAGGCAGCAGUGGGGAAUUUUGGACAAUGGGGGCAACCCUGAUCCAGCCAUGCCGCGUGAGUGAAGAAGGCCUUCGGGUUGUAAAGCUCUUUCGGCCGGGAAGAAAUCGCAUGGGCCAAUACCCUGUGUGGAUGACGGUACCGGAAUAAGAAGCACCGGCUAACUACGUGCCAGCAGCCGCGGUAAUACGUAGGGUGCGAGCGUUAAUCGGAAUUACUGGGCGUAAAGCGUGCGCAGGCGGUUUUGUAAGACAGGCGUGAAAUCCCCGGGCUUAACCUGGGAACUGCGUUUGUGACUGCAAGGCUAGAGUACGGCAGAGGGGGGUGGAAUUCCACGUGUAGCAGUGAAAUGCGUAGAGAUGUGGAGGAACACCAAUGGCGAAGGCAGCCCCCUGGGUCGAUACUGACGCUCAUGCACGAAAGCGUGGGUAGCAAACAGGAUUAGAUACCCUGGUAGUCCACGCCCUAAACUAUGUCAACUAGGUGUUGGGUGGGUAAAACCAUUUAGCAUCGUAGCUAACGCGUGAAGUUGACCGCCUGGGGAGUACGGCCGCAAGGUUAAAACUCAAAGGAAUUGACGGGGACCCGCACAAGCGGUGGAUGAUGUGGAUUAAUUCGAUGCAACGCGAAAAACCUUACCUACCCUUGACAUGCCAGGAACUUGCCAGAGAUGGCUUGGUGCCCGAAAGGGAGCCUGGACACAGGUGCUGCAUGGCUGUCGUCAGCUCGUGUCGUGAGAUGUUGGGUUAAGUCCCGCAACGAGCGCAACCCUUGUCGUUAAUUGCCAUCAUUUAGUUGGGCACUUUAACGAGACUGCCGGUGACAAACCGGAGGAAGGUGGGGAUGACGUCAAGUCCUCAUGGCCCUUAUGGGUAGGGCUUCACACGUCAUACAAUGGUCGGUACAAAGGGUUGCCAAGCCGCGAGGCGGAGCCAAUCCCAGAAAGCCGAUCGUAGUCCGGAUUGCAGGCUGCAACUCGCCUGCAUGAAGUCGGAAUCGCUAGUAAUCGUGGAUCAGCAUGUCACGGUGAAUACGUUCCCGGGUCUUGUACACACCGCCCGUCACACCAUGGGAGCGGGUUCCGCCAGAAGUAGGUAGCCUAACCGCAAGGGGGGCGCUUACCACGGCGGGGUUCGUGACUGGGGUGAAGUCGUAACAAGGUA
Molecule: ribosomal RNA, 1251 nt
Filed under: metagenome
Description: bacterial SSU rRNA
Rfam family: Bacterial small subunit ribosomal RNA
Source: RNAcentral